Molecule: transfer RNA, 61 nt
Filed under: Sinocentrus brevicornis
Lineage: Eukaryota; Metazoa; Arthropoda; Insecta; Hemiptera; Membracidae
Description: tRNA-His
Source: RNAcentral
GUUUAAGUAGUUUAAGUCAAAAUUUGAAUUUGUGGGAUUCUAGAUAUAUUUAUCUUAAAUA